UAGAGUUUUGAAUCCUGGCUCAGGACGAACGCUGGCGGCGUGCCUAAUACAUGCAAGUCGAACGAACUCUGGUAUUGAUUGGUGCUUGCAUCAUGAUUUACAUUUGAGUGAGUGGCGAACUGGUGAGUAACACGUGGGAAACCUGCCCAGAAGCGGGGGAUAACACCUGGAAACAGAUGCUAAUACCGCAUAACAACUUGGACCGCAUGGUCCGAGCUUGAAAGAUGGCUUCGGCUAUCACUUUUGGAUGGUCCCGCGGCGUAUUAGCUAGAUGGUGGGGUAACGGCUCACCAUGGCAAUGAUACGUAGCCGACCUGAGAGGGUAAUCGGCCACAUUGGGACUGAGACACGGCCCAAACUCCUACGGGAGGCAGCAGUAGGGAAUCUUCCACAAUGGACGAAAGUCUGAUGGAGCAACGCCGCGUGAGUGAAGAAGGGUUUCGGCUCGUAAAACUCUGUUGUUAAAGAAGAACAUAUCUGAGAGUAACUGUUCAGGUAUUGACGGUAUUUAACCAGAAAGCCACGGCUAACUACGUGCCAGCAGCCGCGGUAAUACGUAGGUGGCAAGCGUUGUCCGGAUUUAUUGGGCGUAAAGCGAGCGCAGGCGGUUUUUUAAGUCUGAUGUGAAAGCCUUCGGCUCAACCGAAGAAGUGCAUCGGAAACUGGGAAACUUGAGUGCAGAAGAGGACAGUGGAACUCCAUGUGUAGCGGUGAAAUGCGUAGAUAUAUGGAAGAACACCAGUGGCGAAGGCGGCUGUCUGGUCUGUAACUGACGCUGAGGCUCGAAAGUAUGGGUAGCAAACAGGAUUAGAUACCCUGGUAGUCCAUACCGUAAACGAUGAAUGCUAAGUGUUGGAGGGUUUCCGCCCUUCAGUGCUGCAGCUAACGCAUUAAGCAUUCCGCCUGGGGAGUACGGCCGCAAGGCUGAAACUCAAAGGAAUUGACGGGGGCCCGCACAAGCGGUGGAGCAUGUGGUUUAAUUCGAAGCUACGCGAAGAACCUUACCAGGUCUUGACAUACUAUGCAAAUCUAAGAGAUUAGACGUUCCCUUCGGGGACAUGGAUACAGGUGGUGCAUGGUUGUCGUCAGCUCGUGUCGUGAGAUGUUGGGUUAAGUCCCGCAACGAGCGCAACCCUUAUUAUCAGUUGCCAGCAUUAAGUUGGGCACUCUGGUGAGACUGCCGGUGACAAACCGGAGGAAGGUGGGGAUGACGUCAAAUCAUCAUGCCCCUUAUGACCUGGGCUACACACGUGCUACAAUGGAUGGUACAACGAGUUGCGAACUCGCGAGAGUAAGCUAAUCUCUUAAAGCCAUUCUCAGUUCGGAUUGUAGGCUGCAACUCGCCUACAUGAAGUCGGAAUCGCUAGUAAUCGCGGAUCAGCAUGCCGCGGUGAAUACGUUCCCGGGCCUUGUACACACCGCCCGUCACACCAUGAGAGUUUGUAACACCCAAAGUCGGUGGGGUAACCUUUUAGGAACCAGCCGCCUAAGGUGGGACAGAUGAUUAGGGUGAAGUCGUAACAAGGUAACCGUAAGUUU
Molecule: ribosomal RNA, 1539 nt
Filed under: Lactiplantibacillus plantarum
Lineage: Bacteria; Bacillati; Bacillota; Bacilli; Lactobacillales; Lactobacillaceae
Description: Lactobacillus plantarum partial 16S ribosomal RNA
Rfam family: Bacterial small subunit ribosomal RNA
Source: RNAcentral